Molecule: ribosomal RNA, 292 nt
Filed under: uncultured bacterium
Lineage: Bacteria
Description: partial 16S ribosomal RNA
Rfam family: Bacterial small subunit ribosomal RNA
Source: RNAcentral
GUGCCAGCCGCCGCGGUAAUACGUAGGUGGCGAGCGUUAUCCGGAUUUACUGGGCGUAAAGCGCAAGCAGGCGGUCUGUUAAGUUCGACGUGAAAUCUCCUGGCUUAACUGGGAGGGGUCGUUGGAGACUGGCAGACUUGAGGCGAUGAGAGGGGCAUAGAAUUCCCGGUGUAGUGGUGGAAUGCGUAGAUAUCGGGAGGAAUACCAGAGGCGAAAGCGGUGCCCUGGCAUCGGCCUGACGCUCAUGUGCGAAAGCGUGGGGAGCGAACGGGAUUAGAUACCCCGGUAGUCC